This 76-nucleotide non-coding RNA is filed under the name Pseudomonas agarici. Lineage: Bacteria; Pseudomonadati; Pseudomonadota; Gammaproteobacteria; Pseudomonadales; Pseudomonadaceae. The record is from RNAcentral.
UGCAAUGACGGCUGUGCGUUGGAGAGCCUCGGCCCCUGUAUCUCCGGUUACCAACCUGCGCACAGCUGCCACCCAU